GCAGCCAUGGAUGUGGUAUUACCAACAAAUUUGAGUUCUGCUGUUCAGUCCUACUUUGUUUUCCGUCUACUUGCCAAUGAAACCUGGGUGGGGCAGGUCCUGAAGGAGUGUGAAAGUAGAAGGCUAUGAGAGAGAGAGAGAGGCAACUGUUUCAGACACACCAAAGAUAAUACUGACUCCUGUGCGUAUUUAAUUUACAGAUUUAUUCAAACCUAAGGCAUCCUGAAUUGCUGCUUAAUAAUACUGAUGGCUGUACUAAGGAGAUUUGCAGGGACCUGGCAAGAUAAGGUAUGUCAUUGUGUGUUUAUAGAGGUAUGAAAAAUGACCUGGCUCAGAAAACCUUAAUGAAGCUAACUCAGGUUCACUGAUGCAAUGAAACUCGGCUUUCUUUCUGAAGAACUGCAGCUGCACUUCAAGUGUGACAGUUCUGUCCAGCUAUGGACAGGUCCAGAAAAAGGAUGCUCCAAAUUCAAAGUAUACUCCUUCACAUGUUCUGGAAGGAUCUCUGAGUGCCUGUGGGAUGGAUUGCUAUCUUGUUUUACUGUUCUGGAUCUCUGCUGGGAUUGACACUGAGGAUGCCAGUACUAAUUGUGAUGGGUUUUUGUUUGUGAUCUGGAUACCUGCCCACUAGGAAAUGAAUUGGAACAACUCAGUCUUUUCGGGAUUAAACUGAGGGAGAAAAACAAUCUGUCAGUUUCAAUCAAUGCUCAGUUCACAUUUUUGCCCAUACUGCCUUGUAGAGAAAUUAAUUUUCUAAAGUUCAGAUUCUGAAUUCAUUGACAAUAACAUCUGUAGAUGUGAAUGGGAGGAAAGGCUGUAUUUCUGCAUAUCACCAGCAGAGAAAUGUGACUGCAUCAG
RNAcentral lists this long non-coding RNA (858 nucleotides) under Numida meleagris (helmeted guineafowl). RNAcentral's name for it is "lncRNA (ENSNMEG00000010478.1)". The record is from RNAcentral. Lineage: Eukaryota; Metazoa; Chordata; Aves; Galliformes; Numididae.